Molecule: transfer RNA, 76 nt
Filed under: Phenylobacterium sp.
Lineage: Bacteria; Pseudomonadati; Pseudomonadota; Alphaproteobacteria; Caulobacterales; Caulobacteraceae
Also listed under: 5 other names
Description: tRNA-Thr
Rfam family: tRNA
About the family: Transfer RNA (tRNA) molecules are approximately 80 nucleotides in length. Their secondary structure includes four short double-helical elements and three loops (D, anti-codon, and T loops).
Source: RNAcentral
GCCGGAUUAGCUCAGCUGGUAGAGCAGCGGUUUUGUAAACCGAAGGUCACGGGUUCGAGUCCUGUAUCCGGCACCA